Molecule: ribosomal RNA, 501 nt
Filed under: uncultured bacterium
Lineage: Bacteria
Description: partial 16S ribosomal RNA
Rfam family: Bacterial small subunit ribosomal RNA
Source: RNAcentral
AGCGAACGCUGGCGGCGUGCCUAACACAUGCAAGUCGAACGUGAAAGGGAGCAAUCCCAAGUAAAGUGGCGUACGGGUGAGUAACACGUAGGUAAUCUACCCCAGAAUCUGGAAUACCGGCCGAAAGGCUGGCUAAUACUGGAUAGAGCGACGGAAUCCGUAAUUGGGUUUUUCGGGAAAGGGAGCCUGUAAAAAGGCCUUCGUUCUGGGAUGAGCCUGCGUCCCAUCAGCUAGUUGGUGAGGUAAAAGCUUACCAAGGCAAUGACGGGUAGCUGGUCUGAGAGGACGAUCAGCCACACUGGAACUGAAACACGGUCCAGACUCCUACGGGAGGCAGCAGUGGGGAAUCUUGCGCAAUGGACGAAAGUCUGACGCAGCAACGCCGCGUGAGUGAAGAAGGCCUUCGGGUUGUAAAGCUCUGUCGAGUGGGACGAAAAUGCUUGGAGUUCACAGCUCCAGGAACUGACGGUACCACUAAAGGAAGCACCGGCUAACUCCGUG